GGGAGAUCCAUUGUUCUUGGAGCCAUUCUGGAAGCAGCAUGCAGAGAGCAGUGCAGUAGUGGUGGCGGGGUGGCACAGGAUGAGCUACUCCUUCAGUGACCAGACCUUCUUGUCCCAAGAACUUGAGUCUCUCCUCAGGAAGCUGCACUCCCAGGUUGGGAAUGCCAUCACAGACGACAAAUACAUUUUGUUUGGUGCUGGCUCUACCCAACUCCUCAAUGCUGCUGUCCAUGCUCUCUCUCAUCUCAACUCUUCAUUUCCUGCUUCAGCUGUUGCCUCAAUCCCCUAUUAUGCGGUCAGCAUUUUUCCUUUCGUGAGCGUGUAAUGGACCCUGUGUUUUGUCCUCUCCAUCCUUACGCUCAAUUUUGACGUAAUUUCACCAUUUGGGUAUCGGUGUUUUGCUUCUUCACAGCUUUAUCAAAUGCAAACAGAGUUCUUCGACUCAGCAGACUGCAGCUUUCAGGGAGACCCGGCGCAUUGGAAGAACGCAACCAACACCACUGGAGACAUCAUCGAGUUCGUGACUGCACCGAACAAUCCCAAUGGACAGUUGAAUGAGGCCAUUCUCCAUGGCCCUAAUGUUAAAACUAUUCACGACCGCGCUUAUUACUGGCCACAUUUCACCGGAAUUCCUUCCCCAGCAGAUGAGGACCUCACUAUCUUCACUAUCUCUAAGCUCACUGGUCAUGCCGGUAGCAGAUUCGGGUAAAUAUGCCAAAACCCUUAAUUUUUUCCCCAGAUUCUGAUGUUUCCUGCUAUAUAUUCACGGUUCAAAUUGUACUUUGAUGUUGCUGAUUCAGCUGACUGUAUCAUUGCUUUCAGUAAAGUCUUCUAGCUUGCCCAGUGGAGAUCAAUUCUUUCAUUGUUUACAUUGGCUAUAACAGAUGGGCAUUCAUAAGGAAUGAAGAGGUGUACCAAAGGAUGAACACAUUCCUGCAAUUGAACACGAUGGGCGUCUCAAGGGACACUCAGUUAAGAGCUAUGAAGCUUCUGAAAGUAAUCAUCGAAGAUGGAGGGAGGGAAAUAUUCAAGUUUGGAUACAAAACCAUGACCAAACGUUGGGACAGACUGAGGAAGACACUGUCUAUGUCGAACAGAUUCUCUCUCCAGAAAAUAGCACCUGAAAACUGCACCUAUUUCCAGAAAGUUAGGGAACCAACUCCAGGUGAGAACUUGCCACAACCCUAUAACUUAUUUACAACGGGAAGAGCAAAUGUGAUAAGAUGACAGAUCGAUAUAAUUGUACAAUGAUUCGUCAGUAGCAAUCUUUUCAAAAUGUGGACCGAGUUUCUCUAUCGACAACAUGUGUCACACAGCUUUUGUCUGAAAAAUAGCCCAGUAAUGCCCUUUGCAAUCUUAUAGACAUAUAUUUAGAAGAGGAUCUCUCUUAUGUUACGCAUCAGCGAAACUGUAGCCAAAUUGCAAGGGGUGUCGAUGUGAGUUCUCUCUUUCCCGUUUUGGCUGUAUUCCUUUUCACAAAUUAACUGGAGCAUUUAUGGCAGCUUAUGCAUGGGUGAAAUGUGAGAGAGAGGAAGACAGGAACUGCAUUGAGAUCCUAAAUGCAGCCAAAAUCCUCGGUAGAGGAGGGAGCAUCUUCCAUGAUGACGAUAGAUACGCAAGGCUGAGCCUCAUCAGGAGCAACGACGAUUUUGACUUGCUGAUAAGCCGUUUAGAGAGCCUAGUCUCCGGGGAAGAUGGAGCCAAAAUAAUGUGAUUAUGAAGAAAGAAGAACGGUCAAUCUCACGUUGAUCUAUGAUUCUGGACAAAGUGAUCAAAUUAUAGGUAUAUAUCGUGUGAACAAGAGUGAGGGUCAUGACUAUUGACCUAUUUAAGAAAGAGUAAUGUGAUAGGUCUUAGUUUGUAAGAUGGAAACAAGGCCAUGUGACUGUGAAGAAAGAAUAACAGUCAAUCUCGCGUUGAUUUAUGAUUCUAGAUAAAGUGAUCAAAUCAUAGGUACAUAUCGUGUGAAUUAGAGUGAAGGUCAUGACUAUUUACCUCUUUAAGAAAGAGCAAUGUGAUAAGUCUUAGUAUGUAAGAUGGAACCAAAACCAGAAGAUUAUGAAGAAGGAACAACAGUCAAUCUCGCAUUGAUUUAUGAUUGUGGACGAAGCUAUUAAAUAAUAGGUGUAUUUUUUGUGAACUAGUGAGGGUCAUGACUAUUGACCUCUUUAAGAAAGAGCAAUGUGAUAGGUCUUAGUUUGUAAGAUGGAGACAAGACCAUAUGAUUGUGAAGAAAGAAGAACAAUCAAUCUCACGUUGAUAUGUGAUUCUAGACAAGUGAUUAAAUCAUACGUAUAUAUCAUGUGAAUUAAAGUGAGGGUCAUGACUAUUGACCUCUUCAAGAAAGAGUAAUAUGAUAGGUCUUAGUUUGUAAGAUGGAGACAAGACCAUGUGAUUGUGAAAAAAGAAGAACAAUCAAUCUCGAGUUGAUCUAUGAUUCUAGAUAAAGUGAAUAAAUCAUAGGUAUAUAUCAUUUGAAUUGGAGUGAGGGCCAUUACUAUUGACCUCUUUAAGAAAAAGUAAUGUGAUAGGUCUUAGUAUGUAAGAUGGAACCAAAAUAUUGUGAUGGUGAAGAAAAAAAAUAGUCAAUCUCAUGUUGAUUUGUGAUUGUUGACGAAUUUAUUAAAUCAUAAGUAUAUUUAUUGUGAACUAGAGUGACGAUUAUGACAAUUGACCUCUUUAAGAAAGAGUAAUGUGGUAGGUCUUAGUAUGAAAAGAAAUCACGUGAUCGUGAACAAACAAAAAAACAGUCAAUGUGGUUCCGGACAAAGGGAUUUAAUCAUAGGCAUGUUUCUUGUGGACUAGUAUCACGGUCCGUGAAUCCUUCCGUACUCAUGACACUUGUGAGCGAUGCUUAGGGUUAUUGAGUGAAGAGUGAGGAUGUAGAGGGGACGAACACAACUGAUCCGUGGGAAUGACGUCAGAAUGGUUGGUGCUAAGAGUUCUAGAAUAAAAAGAUUAUAUCACUUAAGAGGUCUGAAGGCGAGGUUGGCCUCCCAUGCACAAACUAGUCGGGAGCUGAUGCCGCUCUCCUGACGAGACCAUAACAGACCAAAAUCAGUUGUUGAGCCUAAAGAGAUCUGUUAUCUCACUCAAUGGACUAGACACCCGAGUUAAGCUAGGCAUGGUAGAAUCUUGUACGAAGAAGCAUUCACCAUAUUGUUUGCUGGAACAACCAAGAAGGAAGGUUGGCCUGGCGAAUUCCGCUCGCCAAGCACCACAUGGGUCGUUUCGCGGCCAAGGGAACUGUCGGCCCGUGACAAAUUGUAUCAAAGCAAGAAUCCCUCUAGUAAAUGGGUGAGUCGAAUAAUCGAACUUCUCGCUUUAGUGCGGGUCGAAUUGAUAAGUACUAGUGGUACCAAUCCUAGUGGGUGGAAAGUGAAUCGCUAGGGCAAAAGAUGCUCAAACGAAGCGUAGCUCUCUGCUCUUAGGAUGGCAAUGGAUGCUAGGACAAGUCGGUUCCUCGCCAAACUGAUAUGGAGUUGGAGAAGAACCAAAUCUUCACUGAAUAGGGAUAACUUUCCUAGAUCGAUCGGUGAAUUCGAAGAAGACGUCUAUUGCCACAUUUUCAACAAGGAAAUAACCUCCAUUUGGUUGGCUAAGAUCAAAGAUGCUUAGUAGGCAAAAAUGGUACUGCCAAAAUAUGCGGUUGGCCAAAAAUGUCACACUUGCCAAAGAAAGCGCAGGUAACCAAGAAGGGCCGAGCAGCUGAGAUCAAAAGAGGCUACCAAUGAAGCAAAACCUGUUUUGUUGGACGAGCAUGACCAUUCGAUGUAAAAUCCCAAAAGUGCUGCAUCAAUUGUUAAGGGAUGCAAGGAAGCGACAAAAUAGAUCGCAACGAGGGCAUUGUAAAUUUGAGUGGGGGAGAAUGUCACAGUCCAUGAAUCCUCCCGUACUCGUGACACUUAUAAGCGGUGCAUGGGGUUAUCAAGUAAAGAGUGGGACAAAUACAACUAGUCCGUGGGAGUAGUGUCAAAACGGUUGGUGCCAGGAGUUUUAGGAUAGAAAGAUUAUAUCACUUAGGAGCUCUAAAGUGAAGUUGGCCUCCCAUACACAAACUGGUCAUGAGCUAAUGCCGCUCUCCUGACAAGGCCAUGGUAGACCGAAACCAAUUAUUGAGCCUAAAGAGAUCCGCUAUCUCACUUGAUGGACUAGAUGCCGGAGCGAAGCUAGGUGUGGUAGGAUUUCGUACAAAAGAGCAUUCACCGUUGUUCGCUGGAAUAACCAAGAAGGAAGGCUAGCUUGGCAAAUUCCGCUCAUCAGGCGCCGCACGAGUCAUUUUGUGGCCAAGGGAAUUGUCAGCUUGUGACACUAGAGUGAGGGUCAUGACUACCGACCUCUUUAAGAAAUAGUAAUGUGACAGGUCUUAGUUUGCAAGAUAGAGCUAAAACCAUGUGAUUGUGAAAAAAGAAAAAUAAUCAAUCUCACAUUAAUCUGUGAUUCUGGACAAAAUGAUUAAAUCAUAGGGAUGUUUCUUGUGAACUAGAGUGGGGGUCAUGACUAUUGACCUCUUUAAGAAAAAGUAAUGUGAUAGGUCUUAGUUUGUAAGAUAAUACCAAAACCAUGUAAUUGUUAGGCGAGAAAAAAAAAAAAAAGGCAAUCAUCUCCUGUUGAUUUGUGAUUAUGGACAAAAGUAAUUAAAUCAUAUGUAUAUUUCCUGUGAACUAGAGUGACCAUUGACCUCUUUAAAAAAGAGUAAUGUGAUAGGUCUUAGUUUGUAAGAUGGAGACAAAACCAUGUGAUUGUGAAGGGAAAAAGAAAAAAAAGAGUCAAUUUCGCGUUGAUUUGUGAUUGUGAACAAAGUGAUUAAAUCAUAAAUAUAUUUUUUGUGAACUAGAGUAAGGGUCAUGACUAUUGACCUCUUUAAGAAAGAUAAUGUGAUAAGCCUUAGUUUGUAAGAUGGAGCCAAAAUCAUAUGAUUAUGAAGAAAGAAAAGCAGUCAAUCUCACAUUGAUUUGUGAUUUUGGAUGAAGUGAUUAAAUCAUAGUAUAUUUCCUAUGAACUAGAGUGAGCAUCAUGACUUUGACCUCUUUAAGAAAGCGCAAUGCAAUAGGUCUUAGUUUGUAAGAUGGAGCCAAAACCAUGUGAUUGUGAAGGUAAAAAAGUAGUCAAUCUCACGUUGAUAUGUGAUUGUAGACAAAGUGAUUAAAUCUUAGGUAUAUUUCCUGCAAACUAGAGAGAGGAUCAUGACUUUUAAAUCUCUUUAAGAAAGUGCAAUGUGGUAAAUCUUAGUUUGUAAGAUGAUUGUGAAGAAAGAAAAACAAGCAAUCUCGCAUUGAUUUGUGAUUCUGGACAAAGUGAUUAAAUCAUACGUAUAUUUCUUUGUGAAUUAGAGUGAGGGUUGUUACUACUGACCUUUUUAAGAAAGAGUAAUGUGAUAUUGGAAAUCAAAACAAGCAGCUUUUAUCCAGGGUUUAAUUUCUUUGUUUGAAUUUUCUUAAAAAGUAUUUUUCUAAAAUGACUUUUUUUCUUUACUUAAAUAAAAAAUGGCUUUCUCUUAAUUUCUUUAGCUUUGAAUAGAGGCCCAUGAGAGAGAGCCAAUUGGGUUUGCUCAAUAUAAAGCCCAAAGCAAUGGUGGAUUUAAGGACCAUUUGUUCUCUCUCUCUCUCUCUCUCUCUCUCUCUCUCUCUCCCUCUUAUGUAUUGCAAAUCUUAAAAUUUAUCACAAAAAUGUAAUUGAAUCCUAAAAUUUAAAUAUAUAUAUAUAUAUAUAUAUAUAUAUAAUUGAAUCUGAAAACUUAUUUUAUAAGUGUAAUUGAGUUCUAAAAUUUUCAAAAAGUACAAUCAAAUCCUUAAAAUUAUCAAUUUGGUGAAAUCAAGUUAUUAUGUAAACUUUGUUCAACUUGAUAAAUGCAAUAUGCUAAUAAUUUUUGGGACUUAUUACAUCAACUUAAGUUUUAAAACUCAAUUAUACUUAUAAAAUAAGUUUUCAAAUUCAAUUGUAUUUUUUUUUUAAUUUUAUUACCUAAUUGCAUUUUUGUAAUAAGUUUUUUAGGACUUCCGAUGCACUUAUCUUUUUUUUUUUUACUUCUUUUUUUUUAUUUUUCUAUAUAUAUAUAUAUAUAUAUAUAUAUAUAUAUUUCAUGAAAAAUGUUUUCCAAGAAAAAACUUUUAAAAUUUUUCGUGAAAAUUAAUUUCCUCACUUUUUAAGACAAAGCCUUAGCUCUCAAGCCAAAAAGUCUCUGCAAUUCAUUUCACUUAGAUACCAACCCAACCAACACAAACAAGAUUCUCACACGGCGCAAAAUAGUUCUCCGUCGUCCUCGAUGAAAGAUCUGCUCCAUCCAAUCUCAAACCGCAUGAGUUCUCUCUGCAGAGUACGCUCACAAUCCCUAAAAACUCGCGAACGAACAUGGCGUGGCAAAGCAAUUGUUUCCACAUCAUCUACUCUCUCCUUAGGGUUUAAUGGUUAUUUAUUUGUAUGAUGUGAAUUUCUCUCUGUUUUUGCUACUUUUGUAUUGUGAAUACUUAAAAUGGCUUUGGUCAUAUAUGUGUUGGCUAGUAAUUAAUGAUGAAAUUUUGUGGUGGCCAAAAAUGCAAACUAAAAUGUGUGUCUGAUGUUCUUAAUAUGAAUGGCAAAUGUAUGGUUCUCACGUACGAGAGCUCUAUUGUUCAAUUUGUGUAUGGUUGGUAUAAGAAUACAUUAUAUUAUAUGUAUUGUGUUGAGGAGUACUCAGUUUAGUUUGGAGUUUUGUUAAGUUUUGGUUUACCAUGUUUAAGUAUACAGGAAAAAUAAUGGAAUGACCAACUUACCAAGUAACUAAUUACAUUUUCUAGUUUAUUUUCAAGUUUCAAUCAAAUACUGAAAAAAAAAAAUUACCUUUUUUUCUUAGGAAAUGACUUUUUAGAAAAUACUUUCCCGAAAUGUCACAUUUUUUUUCGUGAAAAAAAUGGAAUCUAAAACUCUAUUUCUACUCUUCUAAAUGAUUAAUUAUUUCGAUUAUAAUUUAGUUAUUAUCUUUUUAUUUAAAAUUUUACAUCAGUUCAAGUUUUCCCAAUUGAUUUUUAUUUUCAACUCAAGUGGGAUUAUUCAUUGUGUUAUCGUACACCAAAAUAUCACAAUGUGAGUGAUAGAAGAAUCAUGUUUCGUCUAGUUUAUUAUGGCCACGGAAUCUAAAUCUCGUUUAUUGGAAAAAAAAUAAAAAUAUAUGGCAUCAGAAUCUUACCCACUAGAGACAAAAAAACAAAAAACAAAAGGAAAAAGGAAAAUGUGUUGCCUUCACGUCAUUUUCUCAAGUUGCGACUUGUUCGAUGAGCUAACAACUACGCCAUCGUAAUUGCUGUAGUGUCUUGAUCAAUCAAUUUCUUUUUCCUUUUUUUUUAUCAUUAUUGGAGGAUCAUUAUUAGUAGGGGUGUGCAACGGAAACCGUCCGAAUCGGGACUAGACCGGACUGGACCGGACCGGCCGAUUUUGGGCGGUUCCCACCGUCGGCAGUCCGGUUCCCGGUUCCAAGGUGGGAACCAGACCAACCAGACCGACUGAACCGAACCAAAUUUUUUUAUAUAUAAUUUAUAUAAAUAUAAUAUAUAAACACAUAUAAUAUAUGAAUAUUAUAUAUAAAACUUGUUGCAAUCGGAAUUGCAAUUGAGGUAACAACCUCUUGUGUGACCAAGAGAUCACCAAAGCUCUUAGAAAACUUAUUUGUUAGUUUUAUCUUAUACUCGAUGUGAGAUAAGACUCUAGGAGUUCCUCAUGCUCACUCUCUCUCUUGCUCCCCUCACUUGCAAACGAUAAGACACUUCAAGUCUCAAAGAGUCCGGCAUCGACUAAACAUUCAAAACAUAGAAGAGAGAUUAUCUAUAAAACCUAAGCCAAGCACAGAUUUUACUCAAAUUGUUCAUGCAUUUUAUGCUUAAAAUUAAGAGUGAAACACAUAAAUUAUGAUUAAUAUUCACGCAAGUGAAGUUUGAAUAUUUUGCACGUGAAAACAUGUGUGAGUAGUUUUAUUAGAUUGCCUGGGAACCGAAUUGGAUUGAUCGGUCCGGAACAUGGUUGUUCUUUAAUGAAUUGUUGUUAUUUAGUGAAAAAAGAAAGUGCCGAUCAUAUUGGACUGAACCGAACCGGAUCGAACCGGAACCAAUGGUCCGGUCCACAGUUCCCAAAAUUGGGAACCGGUUUUCCCGAUCCAGUUCCCAGUUCUAAGGUGGAACUGGACCGAACCGGAAACCGAUCACCCCUAAUUAUUAGAGGGUCAAGCAGCUUCGCGUACCUCAACAAGAAAAUACCUUUCAACUAGGGGGGGUUGAAUUUUAAUAAUUGACUCAAAGUGGGACCAAUUUGGAGAGUUAUUUAAGGACUUCCUAUUUUUAACUUUUAAUUUUGAUUUUAUUUCUUGCUUGUUGUUCCACGUAAAAGAAAGUUAGUCCAAAAAUCAGAGUUGGUAGAGACUUUCUUCUAGCUAAACAUUACUUUGAAAAUUCUUGUCAUUUUUUUAAUAUAACAGAAGAAAAUGCGCAAUCUUAUCUUUCCGGAUUCUCUAGAAGACCUAAUCUCUAAGAGAGUAGCACCCAUAAAAGUCUAAGCUUUACAAAAAAAAAAAAAUGGUGUCCUAUUCUCUAAACUGUUCUAAUUUCCAUCGAAUUGAUUUUGGUUUUUGAUCGUCAUUUUAAAGACUAACCGAUGUGAUCGAUCCUGCUUAGAGCGUGCUCCCAAUCGUUCACAAGAGAAAAAAGUUUACGAGCACUUAUACCGUCGAUGUAGAGAAAGAACUAGAGGGUUUUCGUAAAUCACCUUUCACUACUAAAAAUUAUUCUCGAAAAUCCUAACUCACAUGGAAAAUGCUCAAUCGAGCAAUUUAAAAAAAAAAAAAAAAAAGGAAACAAAUCCACGUCCAUAGACGUGUAUCAUGACGUCAUGGCACUGGAAUAAUCGCAGACGGUACGUUUUGUUCUUUUACUUUUGCUCUGGGCACGAGUUGAAUUUUCCAGCGAACGUCAGGUGGAUCAAUUAUUCAUACGAUGGUCCACGUGGCCCGCCUUCCAUUGGUUGGAGCGUUGGAACGUCAUUGAGCACGCAGGCGAAAGAGUUAAAAUCUUAAAUGUCAUUAUCCUUUCGCCUUUCCUUUCGCCAACUUCAUUAGACUAUUUCAGCCGUCGUUCUCUGUGCUCUGUUCUUCUCCUCGAUUCCCUCUCUCUCUCUCUCUCUCUCUGUGAAAAUAUUCUCGGUUGGAGAUACAGAGAGAGGGAGAGGGUUUUGGUGACGAGAGCAUGAUGGCCAGACCAGAGGGCUCGAUCUUUAAGCUGUGCUUCCUGUGUUCCUUGAUCGCGAAUCUCUUCUUCGGGGUGAAUCUCUACCUGGGUCGCCGUGGCGUGGGGGGGUGGAAGUGGAGCAGCGACGAGGUGAACGUCCAAGGCCUGAGCUGGAGCNNNNNNNNNNNNNNNNNNNNNNNNNNNNNNNNNNNNNNNNNNNNNNNNNNNNNNNNNNNNNNNNNNNNNNNNNNNNNNNNNNNNNNNNNNNNNNNNNNNNGGAGGGCGGCGGCGGAGGCCGAGUCGGCGGCGGCGCGGGAGUGCUCGGGCCCACGGGAGGGCGUUCCUCGACGGGGCGGUCGCCGACGGGAGGCCGGCCUGCGAAUGCAACACGUGCUACGGCGGUCCGGACUGCUCCCUCUUCUUGCCCUCUUGCUCUGCCAAUGCCGACGGGUUAGUUUCGACUUUCUACGUCUCGAUCAAUUUUUCUUUUUCUUUUUUUGGUAAGGUAAGAAUCUACGUCUCGAUCAUUCAUUCCCCAACAAACGAGAAAAUAUUCAGUGGUUUUCUAAAGCGCCACGUCAACAGCUGACGUGGCGUGCGUUAAUGUGCUAUUGGCCAAUUAAAAACUGAAACGUGUCAGCAAACGAUAAAUUAAAAAUCCCUUAAUCCACCUGGAUUUCUCUUUUCCUCCUCUUCCAUCUGCACGCACAAGCCCGACCGCCGCCCCUCCUUCCGCCAUCGCCACCGGCGGAGUGGGAGUUGCCGGCGCCGUGUGAAACCAGUUUGGCCGUCUCCUCCGCCUGUGCCUCAGUUCCAAAUCCGGCGGGAUGACGGAGAGGGUGGACGCGGAGGUUCUCUCCAGAUUUGGUUUGCUGCAACGCUCCUCUGCACCUCCGGGUCUGGUUCGCUGCUCCAGAUCUUGGCUCGUCCCAUGGCUGCCGGCGAAGAGCUCAACAACUUUGCGACAGACCGAGAAGCCGUCCAUGGCCGACCGCUCCUCUGCAUCUCCAGAUCUGGUUUCCUGCUCAACAGCUUUGAGCUCGAGUCUUGGCUCGUCCAUGGCUGCCGGCGACGAGCUCAACAGCUUUAACGCAGACUGUGGCGGCCACGGUGGGGCGGUGGUUCAGGGACGGCGGCGACGUUGGCGGCGGGGCGGCUUGGGCGAUGGAGGUGGCCGAGCCUAGGCGGAGCCGAGGUCGAAGAUGGAGGGGAAAAGAGAACAAAAUUAAUUUUUUAAAUUUCCCUUUCAACAUCCACGUGUCAAAAUCUAAUUGAGUAUCAAUAAAUAAGUGCACACCACGUCAGCCGGUGACGUGGCUUUUGCAAACCACUGAAUAUUUUCUCGAAUAUGCGCAGAAUUCACUGAAUUGUACUGUAAUAAGGAUAGCUGAUGGUCUCAUCCCGAAUUGGAUUCGAAAUGAAAGAUUUCAAUGAGGUUUCACUGAAUCAGUAUUCCCAAUGGCCCUUUGAGACAUUCUCUGUCAUUUGUGAGAUGCCAAUGUGAUGGAUGAGGACUUCAUUGAUUCUUGUUUUUUUCUGUUCUGGGAGAAUACAAUUUCGGCACCGAAACUCCACAAUUUUCUCCGUUUGUGGGGUACAAGAUUGGUGUCCUAUAUCCUAUUAUAAUAGGGGUGCUUCUUUAAGGAUGCACACAUGGUACGAACAUGUAACUUUUGAUUAACAUGUCUUCCACAGAUAGAAUUUAGAUGCCUACAUGUAACUUUUCCUCUCAGUUUAUCAUUCCAGUUGUGAACAUUGACAUGUUCACCUAUGGGAUCCCCAUCUUCAAUACAAUAAACAAGUUAUAUGCCUUGAGCGCGAUUCUUUGUUAUUUUACAUUUUGUGAAAAUUCAUGGAUCAGCGGUUUACCAGCACAUGUCCCUUAUGGUCGGAACCAUUCUCCACUCGGCACCGUAUGGGCUUUAUGUUCAGGCUUUAAUGGUCGUCAGCUAUCACACUUCGGGUAUGCGAGAGUUACUCGUAAAUUAAACCACCUCGUGUUGGUAACAGUUUAAGGUGGAGCGGCAUUUUCCACUCUUUCGAAAUCUCCUUAAUUCACAGUCCUUUAAUUUUAUUUUAUCGUUUGGUUGCAGGGGAGAUCCAUUGUUCUUGGAGCCAUUCUGGAAGCAGCAUGCAGAGAGCAGUGCAGUAGUGGUGGCGGGUUGGCACAGGAUGAGCUACUCCUUCAGUGACCAGACCACCUUGUCCCAAGAACUUGAGUCUCUCCUCAGGAAGCUGCACUCCCAGGUUGGGAAUGCCAUCACAGACGACAAAUACAUUUUGUUUGGUGCUGGCUCUACCCAACUCCUCAAUGCUGCUGUCCAUGCUCUCUCUCAUCUCAACUCUUC
This 11536-nucleotide long non-coding RNA is filed under the name Eucalyptus grandis. RNAcentral describes it as "long non-coding RNA (EGRA_LNC007340)". The record is from RNAcentral. Lineage: Eukaryota; Viridiplantae; Streptophyta; Magnoliopsida; Myrtales; Myrtaceae.